AUAAAAUCAUGAAAGUUAGAUGUAUACGAUGAUUGUGAUAUU
RNAcentral lists this non-coding RNA (42 nucleotides) under Trypanosoma brucei brucei. Lineage: Eukaryota; Euglenozoa; Kinetoplastea; Trypanosomatida; Trypanosomatidae. The record is from RNAcentral.